RNAcentral lists this ribosomal RNA (1768 nucleotides) under Listeria monocytogenes. RNAcentral describes it as "partial 23S ribosomal RNA". It matches the Rfam family "Bacterial large subunit ribosomal RNA", at positions 998 to 2763 of the family's 2925-position model. The record is from RNAcentral. Lineage: Bacteria; Bacillati; Bacillota; Bacilli; Caryophanales; Listeriaceae.
AUAAGAUCCGUAGUCGAAAGGGAAACAGCCCAGACCACCAGUUAAGGUCCCCAAAUAUAUGUUAAGUGGAAAAGGAUGUGGGGUUGCUUAGACAACCAGGAUGUUGGCUUAGAAGCAGCCACCAUUGAAAGAGUGCGUAAUAGCUCACUGGUCGAGUGACCCCGCGCCGAAAAUGUACCGGGGCUAAACAUAUUACCGAAACUGUGGAUGAACCUCUUUAGAGGUUCGUGGUAGGAGAGCGUUCUAAGGGCGGUGAAGUCAGACCGGAAGGACUGGUGGAGCGCUUAGAAGUGAGAAUGCCGGUAUGAGUAGCGAAAGAAGGGUGAGAAUCCCUUCCACCGAAUAUCUAAGGUUUCCUGAGGAAGGCUCGUCCGCUCAGGGUUAGUCGGGACCUAAGCCGAGGCCGAUAGGCGUAGGCGAUGGACAACAGGUAGAGAUUCCUGUACCAGUGCUAAUUGUUUAACCGAUGGGGUGACACAGAAGGAUAGGGAAUCGCACGAAUGGAAAUGUGCGUCCAAGCAGUGAGUGUGAGAAGUAGGCAAAUCCGCUUCUCGCGAAGCAUGAGCUGUGAUGGGGAAGGAAAUUAAGUACGGAAGUUCCUGAUUUCACGCUGUCAAGAAAAGCCUCUAGGAAGAGUAGUACUGCCCGUACCGCAAACCGACACAGGUAGAUGAGGAGAGAAUCCUAAGGUGAGCGAGAGAACUCUCGUUAAGGAACUCGGCAAAAUGACCCCGUAACUUCGGGAGAAGGGGUGCUCUAUUAGGGUGCAAGCCCGAGAGAGCCGCAGUGAAUAGGCCCAGGCGACUGUUUAGCAAAAACACAGGUCUCUGCAAAACCGUAAGGUGACGUAUAGGGGCUGACGCCUGCCCGGUGCUGGAAGGUUAAGAGGAGUGCUUAGCUUCGGCGAAGGUACGAAUUGAAGCCCCAGUAAACGGCGGCCGUAACUAUAACGGUCCUAAGGUAGCGAAAUUCCUUGUCGGGUAAGUUCCGACCCGCACGAAAGGCGCAACGAUCUGGGCACUGUCUCAACGAGAGACUCGGUGAAAUUAUAGUACCUGUGAAGAUGCAGGUUACCCGCGACAGGACGGAAAGACCCCGUGGAGCUUUACUGCAACCUGAUAUGGAAUGUUUGUACCGCUUGUACAGGAUAGGUAGGAGCCGAAGAGACGUGUGCGCUAGCAUACGAGGAGGCAAUGGUGGGAUACUACCCUGGCUGUAUGACCAUUCUAACCCGCCACGCUUAGCGCGUGGGGAGACAGUGUCAGGUGGGCAGUUUGACUGGGGCGGUCGCCUCCUAAAGAGUAACGGAGGCGCCCAAAGGUUCCCUCAGAAUGGAUGGAAAUCAUUCGCAGAGUGUAAAGGCACAAGGGAGCUUGACUGCGAGACUGACAAGUCGAGCAGGGACGAAAGUCGGGCUUAGUGAUCCGGUGGUUCCGCAUGGAAGGGCCAUCGCUCAACGGAUAAAAGCUACCCCGGGGAUAACAGGCUUAUCUCCCCCAAGAGUCCACAUCGACGGGGAGGUUUGGCACCUCGAUGUCGGCUCGUCGCAUCCUGGGGCUGUAGUCGGUCCCAAGGGUUGGGCUGUUCGCCCAUUAAAGCGGCACGCGAGCUGGGUUCAGAACGUCGUGAGACAGUUCGGUCCCUAUCCGUCGCGGGCGCAGGAAAUUUGAGAGGAGCUGUCCUUAGUACGAGAGGACCGGGAUGGACACACCGCUGGUGUACCAGUUGUUCCGCCAGGAGCAUCGCUGGGUAGCUAUGUGUGGCAGGG